Molecule: ribosomal RNA, 536 nt
Filed under: uncultured bacterium
Lineage: Bacteria
Description: partial 16S ribosomal RNA
Rfam family: Bacterial small subunit ribosomal RNA
Source: RNAcentral
UGGGGAAUAUUGCACAAUGGGCGAAAGCCUGAUGCAGCAACGCCGCGUGAGGGACGACGGCCUUCGGGUUGUAAACCUCUUUUAGCAAGGAAGAAGCGAAAGUGACGGUACUUGCAGAAAAAGCGCCGGCUAACUACGUGCCAGCAGCCGCGGUAAUACGUAGGGCGCAAGCGUUAUCCGGAAUUAUUGGGCGUAAAGAGCUCGUAGGCGGUUUGUCGCGUCUGCUGUGAAAACCCGAGGCUCAACCUCGGGCCUGCAGUGGGUACGGGCAGACUAGAGUGCGUAGGGGAGAUUGGAACUCCUGGUGUAGCGGUGGAAUGCGCAGAUAUCAGGAAGAACACCGAUGGCGAAGGCAGAUCUCUGGGCCGUAACUGACGCUGAGGAGCGAAAGGGUGGGGAGCAAACAGGCUUAGAUACCCUGGUAGUCCACCCCGUAAACGUUGGGAACUAGUUGUGGGGUCCAUUCCACGGAUUCCGUGACGCAGCUAACGCAUUAAGUUCCCCGCCUGGGGAGUACGGCCGCAAGGCUAAAACUC